UAAAAGCCGCAAUUGGACAAUGUGUUUGACAUCAUCCUUCCACUCAACGAACAGAUAACAUCAUGUCAUGACGUAUAAGCUUUAGUGUUUUUGUAUUUGAGAAACAAACAUUGGUCAAGGAUUACCGAAAAUUUAAAGGGUUGAUUUACCGAAAUCAUGACGUAUUCCAUUCAAUUUCAGCACGAGGAAGAGGUAAAGAACAUCAAGUAACGGAGACCCUAUGUAAAUAAAGAAAGCAUGGAAGAACAAAUAAAGGUAAGGAACAAUAAAAUGUCUAAGAAAAAAAAGAAACAAAUACGACUUCUCUUCGAAAAAAAACAACAACAACAACAAUUAACGAUUGCUCUUUUCUUUACAUAUAUAUAUUUUUUUAUCGUAAUUUGAUUGCCUUGUUUUCCAUGGGAACCCGAGUGUAUGAAUAUUGGUGAAUUCGUAUGUACACAUAAAACUUUACUGUGUGAAAACAAAUAAUGAAUUAAAAAAAAAGAAAAGAAAAGCAUCUGAUUCAGCCACCUCUUUUUUAUCUAAUUUCCCUUCUACAGUUUAUGAAAAUUGGAUGCAUAAUCGAAAUUGCCCUCUUGCCUUGUCGGACCGAUGGUUAUUUACUAAUAGUAUAUAAGCCUACCCCUUUUGCUUAACGAAGCAUUUUACGAGUCGUAAAGUUGAAAUUAGCGAAAAGUUUCGCAGCACAUAAAUUGACAAUUCCACAGAAAAAAAAAAUGUUUGAAAGAGAGAGAGUGUGUGUGAUUCAGGAUUCUCUUUUUUUAUUCUUUUUUAUUUUUGGGGGUAAGGUAUUCUACAAUACACGAAGAAGACUUUUUUUAAAAUGUCCAUCUAAAAAUAGAGAAACUUAGAAGACAAUCGAAGAAAAUAAGAUCCCCUUUGAUCACUGAAUGCACUACACUACACUGCACUAAUUCCGUUUAUGAAUGCCGUUUAGUACGGCAGGAGCGGGUUACUGCUAAAAAUAAAUAACGACGGCUACUAAGAAUAGAAAGUAAAGUGGGUGUGCUAUCCGAUGUUGGUUAUUUACAGAAAUAGACGAGAAACACAAGAAGCUGCUUACAAACAAAAAGUAUUUGUUGUGUGAAUGGUGGAUGAAAAUAGAAAGGUUCUUGUUUUAACUUCUUCUCAUAUCUUUUAAACGAAUAAUUAAUGAGUGUUUCUUUAUUCGUGAGUCUAUAUUCUCGGGUUUCCUUCUCAAACUUUCAUCCAAAAUAGCUAGUUCUAUAAAAAUAACCAUUUCAACAUGUGCCUAGGCA
Molecule: non-coding RNA, 1262 nt
Organism: Schizosaccharomyces pombe (fission yeast)
Lineage: Eukaryota; Fungi; Ascomycota; Schizosaccharomycetes; Schizosaccharomycetales; Schizosaccharomycetaceae
Source: the annotation of a GenBank genome assembly